UCUGUAGGUGGUCUGCUAAGUCAGACGUGAAAUCCCUCAGCUUAACUGGGGAACUGCGUCUGAGACUGAUGGACUUGAGGACAGGAGAGGAACGCGGAAUUCCAGGUGUAGCGGUGAAAUGCGUAGAUAUCUGGAGGAACACCGGUGGCGAAGGCGGCGUUCUGGACUGUUUCUGACACUGAAAGACGAAAGCCAGGGGAGCAAACG
This 207-nucleotide ribosomal RNA is filed under the name uncultured bacterium. RNAcentral describes it as "partial 16S ribosomal RNA". It matches the Rfam family "Bacterial small subunit ribosomal RNA", at positions 568 to 774 of the family's 1533-position model. The record is from RNAcentral.